UAGAUAAGUGUAUUUCCUUUUUAUCUUUUUAUGAUUUUGGAGUUUUUUGAAUUAUUUUAUUAUUAGUAUUUUUUUUUUGGUUUUUAUUGUUUAUUUUUUUAAUAUUAAAUAUUUAUAGAGUUAAAACUAAUUAUAUUUUAUGUUAUAAUAUGAGGAAUUUCUAGGUUGUGUGUUAUUAUAAUUAAAUUGAAGAGUGUGUAUAGAGUGUUAUAGUAUUUUAAUUGUACUUAGGAAUAUUAAUAAUAUAUUAUUGAUUAAUUUUUAUUCCUUUUGUAUUAUGAUAAUUUUAUUAUGUGUAAAUGUUUAAAUUCUAGAAAUAUUAUGAUCUAAAAGGUAUUGAAAAAUUGUUAAGUUUUUUAAAAUAUCUUUUUGAAAUGAAAAGUUAAUCGUAUAAUAUGAUAUCUAGUUGAAUCUUAUAAUGUGAAAUCUUAUAAAAGGUGGGAUAAUCUACUUUUUAAUAAAUUAACAAAUUGUAAUUGAAAGUAUUAAAUUAUUGGUAGUAUUUAAAAAUAAAGUAUUUAAAUUUAUAAUUAAAUUUAUAUUAAUAUAUUAUUUAUUAAAAAAUGUAUCUUCUUUUUUUUACAGAUUUAAUUAUAUUUUUUAUAAAUUUAUAUGAGUUAAUAAGUAGUGUAUAUAGUUAUAUGUAGUGUAUAUAUGUGUAAUUAAUAUAAUAGAAUAAUUAGUAAAAGAACUUGGCAAAUAUUAGUCAGACUGUUUAUCAAAAACAUUUCUUUUAGAAAGUUUAUUAAAGGUAAAACCUGCCCAAUGAUGGUAGUAUAUUUAAUGGAAGUUAAAGUAGCGAAAUAAUUAGUAUCUUAAUUAGGUACAUGUAUGAAAGGUUUAACUGAUUAAGGUUGUUUUUAUUAAAAAUAAGAAAUUUCUAUAUAAGUGAAGAAGCUUAAUAAUACAAAUAGACGAUAAGACCCCGAGAAGCUUUAUUUAUAAAUUAUGUAAAUUUUAAAUGGGGCAUUUAAUAAUAUUAGUAAAAUUAUUUGAAUAGUUAUAUUAUGGUUUAGUGAGACACAUAUUGUGGUUAGUGGUUAAAGUUACUCCGGGGAUAACAGCGAAAUAAGGGGUUUUAGUACUUAUAGAAUUUUUUGUUUUCGACCUCGAUGUUGAAUUAGAAUAUAAAUCCCGAAGAGGGGAUAAAAAUUAGACUGUUCGUCUGUAUUAUUCUACAUGAUUUGAGUUCAGAUCGGCGUGAGCUAGGUUGGUUUCUAUCUUUUGUAUGUGUAUAUGAGUGAUUUUAUUGUACGAAAGGACUUAAGAUUUAGGUUAUUACCAUUAGAUGUGUUAUUAUUAAA
RNAcentral lists this ribosomal RNA (1304 nucleotides) under Paratomella rubra. RNAcentral describes it as "16S ribosomal RNA". The stretch from base 908 to 1227 matches the Rfam family "Archaeal large subunit ribosomal RNA", at positions 2150 to 2716 of the family's 2987-position model. The record is from RNAcentral. Lineage: Eukaryota; Metazoa; Xenacoelomorpha; Acoela; Paratomellidae.